UAGAAUGUGGUGUAAAGGAAACACGGAGAAGUUUGAGUUCUCUAAUAUGGGUUCAAGUCCUAUUGUUCUAG
RNAcentral lists this transfer RNA (71 nucleotides) under Petrogale xanthopus (ring-tailed rock wallaby). RNAcentral describes it as "tRNA-Gln". It matches the Rfam family "tRNA". Rfam says of the family: Transfer RNA (tRNA) molecules are approximately 80 nucleotides in length. Their secondary structure includes four short double-helical elements and three loops (D, anti-codon, and T loops). The record is from RNAcentral. Lineage: Eukaryota; Metazoa; Chordata; Mammalia; Diprotodontia; Macropodidae.